AGAGUUUGAUCCUGGCUCAGAGCGAACGUUUGCGGCGGGCCUAACACAUGCAAGUCGAACGGGCUAGCAAUAGUCAGUGGCGCACGGGUGCGUAACACGUGGGUAAUCAACCCUUCAGCUUGGGAUAACGCCUUGAAAGGGGCGCUAAUACCGGAUACGGCGCGCGAGACUUCGGUCUUGUGCGAGAAAGGCUCGCAAGGGCCACUGAGGGACGAGCCUGCGGCCCAUCAGCUAGUUGGUGGGGUAAGAGCUCACCAAGGCUAAGACGGGUAGCUGGUCUGAGAGGAUGAUCAGCCACACUGGAACUGAGACACGGUCCAGACUCCUACGGGAGGCAGCAGUGGGGAAUAUUGCGCAAUGGGCGAAAGCCUGACGCAGCCACGCCGCGUGAGCGAUGAAGGCCUUCGGGUCGUAAAGCUCUGUGGGGAGAGACGAAGAAAGCCCGUGAAGAGCGGGCCUUGACGGUAUCUCCUUAGCAAGCACCGGCUAACUCCGUGCCAGCAGCCGCGGUAAUACGGAGGGUGCAAACGUUGCUCGGAAUCAUUGGGCGUAAAGCGCACGUAGGCGGCUAGAUAAGUCGGGUGUGAAAGCCCUGGGCUCAACCCAGGAAGUGCAUUCGAAACUGUCUAGCUUGAAUCUCGGAGGGGGUCAGAGAAUUCCCGGUGUAGAGGUGAAAUUCGUAGAUAUCGGGAGGAAUACCAGUGGCGAAGGCGCUGACCUGGACGAAGAUUGACGCUGAGGUGCGAAAGCGCGGGGAGCAAACAGGAUUAGAUACCCCAGUAGUCC
This 786-nucleotide ribosomal RNA is filed under the name uncultured Nannocystis sp. RNAcentral describes it as "bacterial SSU rRNA". It matches the Rfam family "Bacterial small subunit ribosomal RNA", at positions 8 to 796 of the family's 1533-position model. The record is from RNAcentral. Lineage: Bacteria; Pseudomonadati; Myxococcota; Nannocystales; Nannocystaceae.